RNAcentral lists this transfer RNA (74 nucleotides) under Pteropus alecto (black flying fox). It matches the Rfam family "tRNA". From Rfam's summary of the family: Transfer RNA (tRNA) molecules are approximately 80 nucleotides in length. Their secondary structure includes four short double-helical elements and three loops (D, anti-codon, and T loops). Further hydrogen bonds mediate the characteristic L-shaped molecular structure. tRNAs have two regions of fundamental functional importance: the anti-codon, which is responsible for specific mRNA codon recognition, and the 3' end, to which the tRNAs corresponding amino acid is attached (by aminoacyl-tRNA synthetases). tRNAs cope with the degeneracy of the genetic code in two manners: having more than one tRNA (with a specific anti-codon) for a particular amino acid; and 'wobble' base-pairing, i.e. permitting non-standard base-pairing at the 3rd anti-codon position. RNAcentral also lists the same sequence under 1 other name. The record is from Rfam by way of RNAcentral. Lineage: Eukaryota; Metazoa; Chordata; Mammalia; Chiroptera; Pteropodidae.
GGCUUCAUAGUGUAGUGGUUAGCAUGUCUGCUUUACACGCAGAAGGUCCUGGGUUCGUGCCCCAGGUGGAGCCA